AGAAUCAACGCUGGCGGCGUGCCUAACACAUGCAAGUCGAACGAGAAAGUGGAGCAAUCCAUGAGUAAAGUGGCGCACGGGUGAGUAACACGUGACUAACCUACCCUUGAGUGGGGGAUAACCUAGAGAAAUCUGGGCUAAUACCGCAUAAUACCUUCGGGUCAAAGGAGCAAUUCGCUUAAGGAGGGGGUCGCGGCCGAUUAGUUAGUUGGCGGGGUAAUGGCCCACCAAGACUAUGAUCGGUAUCCGGCCUGAGAGGGCGCACGGACACACUGGAACUGAAACACGGUCCAGACUCCUACGGGAGGCAGCAGUGGGAAUUUGCGCAAUGGGGGAAACCCUGACGCAGCAACGCCGCGUGGAGGAUGAAGUCCCUUGGGACCGUAAACUCCUUUCGAUCGGGACGAUUAUGACGGUACCGGAAGAAGGAGCCCCGGCUAACUUCGCGCCAGCAGCCGC
RNAcentral lists this ribosomal RNA (459 nucleotides) under uncultured bacterium. Its description in RNAcentral is "SSU rRNA". It matches the Rfam family "Bacterial small subunit ribosomal RNA", at positions 26 to 518 of the family's 1533-position model. The record is from RNAcentral.